UCCGGUGGUGAUGGCUGGGGGGUUCCACCCGUUCCCAUCCCGAACACGGUAGUUAAGACCCCAUGCGCCGAUGGUACUUGGUUGGAAACGGCCUGGGAGAGUAGGUCGCCGCCGGUU
RNAcentral lists this ribosomal RNA (117 nucleotides) under Veillonellaceae bacterium. The record is from RNAcentral. Lineage: Bacteria; Bacillati; Bacillota; Negativicutes; Veillonellales; Veillonellaceae.